Molecule: long non-coding RNA, 667 nt
Organism: Gallus gallus (chicken)
Lineage: Eukaryota; Metazoa; Chordata; Aves; Galliformes; Phasianidae
Source: Ensembl
GAGCAACCAGGAGCUAAUCCUGUACACAGCAAUGUUACAGAGUCCACAGAAGAAGAAGAAUGAAGCUACCAAGGUGGUAACUCUUCAAAAAUUAGAAGAAGCUUUUCAAAAUGAGAAUCAUGAGAACGAGAAGAACAAUGGAGCCUUUUCACGUGUGUGACAAUCAUUCUCAUUUAUGUGCUUGACACAUUGCAACUGGAUAUUUAUUCUUAUGAAGUAGACUUUAAUGUCAUUGAAACUCUAAUACAACAAGGAAGAACCACCUGAUAAUACCAAGAUUGGGCUAAUCACUGUCAUUACACAGUGUGUAUGCAGCACACAGAGACUCUCUGUACACUCCGUUGAGGGAUUAGACGGAAUAUGCCUUGAUAAAACAGAGCAGCAGCACAAGGAGAUGCCUGAGCUGGCUCGAAACAAGAUGAGGACAAAUAACGUACUAAUGCAGUGAGACAACUUUAAAUAAGCAGCUCCUUUAUAAGUAAAUGGGAGAGCUCAACACAGAGCUGCAUGAUGUCAUGCAGACACGCUUUACUAACAGACAAAAUUAGCAGUGGGUGCAAAGUACCUAAUGCACCACUUCUCAAGCUUUUUGACGUUUCCCUGCUUUUCAGCCUGGAGUACAUUCCAGUGCUUCACAUACCACCUAGCUGGUGGUUUUCACCCUGAG